This 333-nucleotide ribosomal RNA is filed under the name Triticum aestivum (bread wheat). RNAcentral describes it as "partial small subunit ribosomal RNA". The record is from RNAcentral. Lineage: Eukaryota; Viridiplantae; Streptophyta; Magnoliopsida; Poales; Poaceae.
AUGCUUCUAUUAUCGAUCUGGAGUUGGGAGCACUUGCCAGUGGGGCGGCCGACACCAAAGGGUUACGACCGGUGGGAUGAUCAUCAUGACCCGGACCGUAUGCCUACAUGGGCGUAUAAGUGGGACAAGGUUGAAGGUUUUGUUGGCAGUUCAAAGACCAUGUAUUUGCACUACUACAACGAGCUUUGGUGGAUACUUGUACAUCUUUUUGGCCUUGUUUUUCCCGGACAUCAAGUUGGAUGUUUCUUCACUAUACUUUUGAAAAUAGACAUUCAACUUCUGGAAUGUAUACUCUACUAUUGUUGUCACGGGCAAUGCACGGACACCCUUUAG